GUCUACGGCCAUGCCGCCCUGAACAAGCCCGAUGUCUGAUCUUGGAAGCUAAGCAGGGUCGGGCCUAGUUAGUACUUGGACAGGAGACCACCUAGGAAGACCUUGUGCUGUAGGCA
RNAcentral lists this ribosomal RNA (116 nucleotides) under Pteropus alecto (black flying fox). The record is from RNAcentral. Lineage: Eukaryota; Metazoa; Chordata; Mammalia; Chiroptera; Pteropodidae.